RNAcentral lists this ribosomal RNA (357 nucleotides) under Sarcocystis medusiformis. RNAcentral's name for it is "SSU rRNA". It matches the Rfam family "Eukaryotic small subunit ribosomal RNA", at positions 560 to 872 of the family's 1831-position model. The record is from RNAcentral. Lineage: Eukaryota; Apicomplexa; Conoidasida; Eucoccidiorida; Sarcocystidae.
UCUGGUGCCAGCAGCCGCGGUAAUUCCAGCUCCAAUAGCGUAUAUUAAAGUUGUUGCAGUUAAAAAGCUCGUAGUUGGAUAUCUGCUGGAAGCAAUCAGUCCGCCCUUUUCAUAAGGGUGUGCACUUGAUGAAUUCUGGCAUGAUUUCAUCCUGAUAAUGAUAAUAAUAUGUUGUUAUAAUAUUAGGUUGAUUCCUAGUAUAAUAAUAACAUUAUUAUUGUUAUGGGGAUGACAGUUACUUUGAGAAAAUUAGAGUGUUUGAAGCAGGCUUUUGUUGCCUUGAAUACUGCAGCAUGGAAUAACAAUAUAGGAUUUCGGUUCUAUUGUUUUGUUGGUUUUUUCUGUAGGACUGAAAUA